Molecule: transfer RNA, 70 nt
Filed under: Benthodytes marianensis
Lineage: Eukaryota; Metazoa; Echinodermata; Holothuroidea; Elasipodida; Psychropotidae
Description: tRNA-Thr
Rfam family: tRNA
About the family: Transfer RNA (tRNA) molecules are approximately 80 nucleotides in length. Their secondary structure includes four short double-helical elements and three loops (D, anti-codon, and T loops). Further hydrogen bonds mediate the characteristic L-shaped molecular structure. tRNAs have two regions of fundamental functional importance: the anti-codon, which is responsible for specific mRNA codon recognition, and the 3' end, to which the tRNAs corresponding amino acid is attached (by aminoacyl-tRNA synthetases). tRNAs cope with the degeneracy of the genetic code in two manners: having more than one tRNA (with a specific anti-codon) for a particular amino acid; and 'wobble' base-pairing, i.e. permitting non-standard base-pairing at the 3rd anti-codon position.
Source: RNAcentral
GCUUUAAAAGUUCUUGAGUAACAAUUAGUCUUGUAAACUAAAAAGCUAGGUUUAAUUCCUAUUUAAAGCA